RNAcentral lists this unclassified non-coding RNA (315 nucleotides) under plant metagenome. Its description in RNAcentral is "partial contains 5.8S ribosomal RNA, internal transcribed spacer 2, and large subunit ribosomal RNA". The stretch from base 1 to 106 matches the Rfam family "5.8S ribosomal RNA", at positions 49 to 154 of the family's 154-position model. The record is from RNAcentral.
CGAAAUGCGAUAAUUAAUGUGAAUUGCAGAAUUCAGUGAAUCAUCGAGUCUUUGAACGCACAUUGCCCCCCCUGGUAUUCCGGGGGGCAUGCCUGUCCGAGCGUCAUUGCUGCCCUCAAGCACGGCUUGUGUGUUGGGCUUCCGUCCCUGGCAACGGGGACGGGCCCAAAAGGCAGUGGCGGCACCAUGUCUGGUCCUCGAGCGUAUGGGGCUUUGUCACCCGCUCCCGUAGGUCCAGCUGGCAGCUAGCCUCGCAACCAAUCUUUUUAACCAGGUUGACCUCGGAUCAGGUAGGGAUACCCGCUGAACUUAAGC